RNAcentral lists this long non-coding RNA (1628 nucleotides) under Mus spicilegus (steppe mouse). Its description in RNAcentral is "lncRNA (ENSMSIG00000011413.1)". Lineage: Eukaryota; Metazoa; Chordata; Mammalia; Rodentia; Muridae. The record is from RNAcentral.
UAUCGAAGGCCUCAGUUGCUGUGUGUUAGAGUUUGAGCUUAGUUCAGUGAACAACAAAGAUCCUUCAGAGUCACUGGUAGGGGGCUGAGGGGUAGACUUUUAAAAUUUCAAAACUUCACACUUCUUAUGGCUUUCGUAAGAACAGCCAUAAAUAACAAACUUGAAACACAGAGAUCCCCCAAAGCUAGGAUACAGGCCUUUGGCUUGCUUCUAGCUUAGUAGGGUGCCCUGCUUACAGAAAAAGGUCUGGGGAGAUGAAAACCUCCAACCCAAGUUUUGUAAAAAGGCUGGAAAACUAAAAAGUAAAGAGCAGCCCCGCCGAGGACCCCAGGAGCGGAGAGCAGCCCGCCUCCUUUGUGUGGUUUCGUCCAUCUUGUCAGUGAUGUGAGUUGCCGUUGCUGUUGUCUGCCCUGCCUAAAUGAGAAUAAAUACACACACGGCUUAUGCCCAAGCAAGUCACCUGUCUGCGUGAGAGGGAUGGCAGAACGUUAAAAUCGGGCUGUGGGGGUGGAGGGGAGGAGUACUUUUAAGAUGGCUGCCAGCGUUGCUAUGGAAAUGUAAUUCCCGACCAGCAGCAAAUCCCAUUCAAAAGGCCAAGAAUGGCCAUGUUAGGUCAAAAACGGAACAUGAACUGGGGGAAAAGAUUGCUUUUCAGGAGAACCAGACAAUUAAUUUAACAGAGGAACCACCCAACAAAGAGGAAAAUUACAGUUACCUUACGCGAGGGACCUUUAUUCAGUUAAAGUCCAAUUUCUAAAAGAGUGUGCCAGGGAUAAGGUGACAAGGCAAUGUUCUCCAUUUCCACAGAGGAGAAGUUUACAGGGAGGUGGGAGGGGCAGGGGUGAGAGGUCAAGAGGACGGUUUCCUGGCAGAAGAUCUGCAAGACACUGGGCUGGAUGGCUGAGGAGAGUUAUGGGGCUGUUUUCCAGAGUGCCCGAUUCUACUUUCAACCUCUAUGAAUUUGACCACUCUAAAUUCCCCAUUGCUGUGGUGCCAACAUAAAAUGUUCCCCCCAAGAUGCAUGUGCUCCCCAACUGGUAUAGGGGAAAGUUCUGGAAAUUUCUGCAGAUGGAACCAAGCUGGAGGAAGCAUCACCGGGGGAUGAGGGUGAGCAGUUAAGAUUGUUUUGUCUUUGACCUCUAUUUCUCUUUUCUCCUCGUCCUCCUCUCCCUCCUCCUCUGCUUCCCAUCAUGAGGUAAAUAUCUGGAUGGCUCCCUUUCCACAGACUCCCUCCAUCAUGAUGUUUAUCCUCACCACAGGCCCAGAAUGAAUGAAGCCAGGAACUGGGAGUGGAACUGUUCGAAACUGUGAGCACAAAUCAGCUAUGUCAACCAUUCUGUCUUUCUGCAAGCUGCUUAUCUCACGAUAACAUCUUCAAGGUUUACCUUGCUUGGAGCAUGGAACAAUAUUCUCUGGCUUGGGGCUGAGUAGAAUUUCUUCUUAUGUAUGGAACACCUUCUGGUUUCCCAUUAAUCUGUCUGUGGACGUAAGGGUUGCUCCCAUGCCUUGGCUGUGGUGAGCAUCACUGCUGCAAGUUGAAUAUGUAAGCAUCUCUUCAAAACCGUUUCAGUCCUUAUAAAAAUGUCCCCAGAAAGGGAAUUGCCAACACAUGGUGAUUCUGUUUUUUU